RNAcentral lists this long non-coding RNA (1537 nucleotides) under Androctonus crassicauda. The record is from RNAcentral. Lineage: Eukaryota; Metazoa; Arthropoda; Arachnida; Scorpiones; Buthidae.
UUUACUAUUAUAAAGUAAAAUUUCAAGUUUAAUCCCUUAACUGGAAAAUUUAAAAUGUUUUUUUGUUGUUCGUUACUUAUAAUUCCUAUCAAACUGUCGAUUUAUUCCGUUUUAAAAUGGGCAUUAAAUCCCAUAAAAAUUACUCAAAUCUGGCAUAACUUUUAGAAUUUAAUGGCGGCUGCAUUUUUCUUCUAGAAUCGGGACUUCUGUGGAAUAUAAUUAAUGAAAAUCGUUGUUUUUAUUGAGAGAGAGAGAGAGAGAGAGAGAGAGAGCGAUUUUUCGCGCAUUAAAGAAAAAAUUCAAUGCGACUCACUGCUAACGUUAUGCAUCUACAUCGUUACACUUAAAAGUUGUUGUGCCACGUUGCAGCUUUUUGUAAGUAGUUUCCUAUAUUCUAUAAACUGCCAAAGAUUAUAUUCGAUACUUAAAACUAUUUUCAAGCGAUAAUAUUCGUUUCUGUCAAUUUUAAAACGGUAAAAAUCACUUAAUGAACGAAUAAUCUAAAUUAUUCAGAAAUCCAUUAACGGAAAUGAAUUUCUGUCCUGUCCCGUCGAAAAAUUAAUGACGAUUAAAAAAAUUAUGCAAAUAAGUAAUUUAAAGCGUAAACAUUCUCUCUACAAAUCUUUGAAAGAAAAAAAUACCCACUUUGAAUAUUUGUAAAAAGAAAAAAAAAGAGGUCAAGGCGGACUUGUUGCAUUGAGGUGUCAACUUACUGCUCAACAUAAAGUGCAUCACAAGCAGAGCACAAUACACAUAAAUGGUUGUUCUUAUCGGUUUUUAAAAUGUUACAAGGUAUUUCUCUUAUAGAAGUUGUAACUGGAAAUAGUUUAUCUGUACAUUCUGCUACUUUACCGAAUUCACACAUUUCUACGAGAAUUGCUGCCGACACUAUAAUUAAAAAAAAAAAAAAAAAUGAAUUAGAGAGAAACGAAACGAGCGAAGAGGGAAAAAGUAAACUAAAUACUAAAAACGAACUCAAAAAAAGAAAAAAAAAAAAAACACAAAUUCUAAAGUCCGUUUUUGCAUCAAUCUAAAAUAUUAAAAUCGUUGCAAGAUUGAAAGACUGUUCUAAUCCUUUUUAAUCUCACAUUUAUGUUAGACUUAAAGAGGGGUAAAAAGAAUAAUAAUUUAUGAUAUAAGGCCUGUUCUCUAUCUGUUGUAGAUUAUGUUCUCCAGCCUACACAAUUACUACCAGAUGUUAAAUGAACUCGAACCCGGAUCUUUAAUUAAUCAUUUCUUUCUACAUUUGCCAUUUUUUGACGAGUUAUAAGUAACGAUAAUCUUUUUUUUUUUUUUCUUCUUCUUCUUCUUCUUAAAGAGCGUAACAUAUUUUCCGUGCAAAAGUUUUCUAAUUCGCAAAUUGAAUGUUUGACGUAAGCUCUUUAUCCUAGUUUUUAAAAUAACUUUUAAUAACGACGCAAGAAUAAAUAAUAAUAAUAAUAAUUCUUCAAACAAAUCACGUUUAUACAAAUUAUACCCAUUUUUAGCGCAUUAAAUAAAAAAUUAAAUGCGACACACUGCUAACUUUAUGCAUAUA